CUGCUGGAGGAGGCCUGUGGCCAGGUACCUGUCCCCUACUGCCAUAGCUUCCCAGCCCUGCAGCCUCAGGGUCGCCUCUCUUCCUGCGCUGGCCUGGAGCACUUCUUGAUCUGCCCUGAGCAACUGGGCCAGGGGGUGUGCGUCCUAGAGUUGAGCACAACUCUUCAAAGCCAGCACGGAGACGACAGGAAUUCUUUCCACGUUGGCGAAGGAGAACACGCCCUCUCGCACGUGUGCUCUCCUCUGUUGGUGGCAUCCACACUGGGGCUGCCAGGACAAGCGUGUGACAUCAGGAAGAGCUUCCGGUCCCACCCACAGUCUCGGGGAGGGACGAGGGGCUGGCGUUGGAUCAGUCGCCAAUGGCCCGUGAUUUAUCAACGUGCCCAGGGAAUGAAGCCUCCAUAAAACCCCCAAAGGACGGGGUUCAGAGAGCUCUGGGUUGGUGAACCACAAUGUGUCCACAUGCCACCAUGCCAAGGGGACCUUGCCCUGUGUAUCUCUUCAUCUGGCUGUUGAUUCGUAUUCUUUAACGUCCUCUAUAAUACACCAGUAAUCCAGCAGGUAGACACUGAGCUCUGUGAGCCGAGCGAGCGAGUGAAUGGAACCCCCGGAGCGGGUGGGGGAGCUGUGAUCUGCAGCCCGUGGGCCAGGAGCAGGGUGGACGGUGUCAGAACUGAGCUCAAGUGUAGGACGCUGGUCAGCAUCUGCUGGGAAUCGGAGAAGCACUUGGUGUAGGACGAGCCACGGAGAGGGUUCCAGGUGGACGGACAGACUCCACGGUCGGGCUGGGCAGCGGCUGGAAUCACUGGCGUGAGGACGGCGUGAAGUGGUGUCUUGGUGACUCCCUUUCUAGUGCGGGGCAGUUUCGAGGCCGUGGAUGCUUGUUUCGCUGAUCUGUGUAUUCAGCGUGUGCACCGGGCCUCCUGGGGCGCCCAGGAGAAGCUCUAACUCGCUGGUUCCUGACUCCAGUCUACAGAGGUGGCUGCUUGGUGGCAGCAUCCUGGCACCAUCAGGAAAAGGUCUCUGAGGUCCUGGCAAAUGCCGGCUGUUCUGAAGAUGCUGCUCUGGGUCAGUCUGGCGGACGGGGAGCCUCUCCCAGCGCACGGGAUCCCUGGGACAGUGCUGCUGUGGUCCACUAGGACCCGGCUGCUCUCCUGACUUAGCCUGAGAGGACCAACCGCCCAGGCCCUGCAUUGGCAGGGAGGAGGAGCGUGUGCCGCCGCCCCCCCCCCCCCCCCCCCC
Molecule: long non-coding RNA, 1242 nt
Organism: Canis lupus familiaris (dog)
Lineage: Eukaryota; Metazoa; Chordata; Mammalia; Carnivora; Canidae
Exons: 3
Source: RefSeq, a predicted model, not a curated record